Molecule: ribosomal RNA, 515 nt
Filed under: uncultured Paraglomus
Lineage: Eukaryota; Fungi; Glomeromycota; Glomeromycetes; Paraglomerales; Paraglomeraceae
Description: bacterial SSU rRNA
Rfam family: Eukaryotic small subunit ribosomal RNA
Source: RNAcentral
AGCAGCCGCGGUAAUUCCAGCUCCAAUAGCGUAUAUUAAAGUUGUUGCAGUUAAAAAGCUCGUAGUUGAACUUCAGGCCUGUCCAGACGGUCCGCCUUAAUUGGUGUGUACUGUCCUUGGGUGGGUCCUACCUUCUGGCGAAGCGGCAUGGCCUUAAUUGGUUGUGUCGGGGAACCAGGACUUUUACUGUGAAAAAAUUAGAGUGUUCAAAGCAGGCAAAUAUGCUCGAAUACAUUAGCAUGGAAUAAUGGAAUAGGACGAUGGUUCUAUUUUGUUGGUUCUAGGACCGUUGUAAUGAUUAAUAGGGAUAGUUGGGGGCAUUAGUAUUCAAUUGUCAGAGGUGAAAUUCUUGGAUUUAUUGAAGACUAACUACUGCGAAAGCAUUUGCCAAGGAUGUUUUCAUUAAUCAAGAACGAAAGUUAGGGGAUCGAAGACGAUCAGAUACCGUCGUAGUCUUAACCAUAAACUAUGCCGACUAGGAAUCGGGCGAUGUUGACAAAAUGACUCGCUCGGCA